UAACGCGUGGGUAACCUGCCUCAUACAGGGGAGUAACAGUUAGAAAUGACUGCUAAUACCGCAUAAGCGCACAGUACCACAUGGUACGGUGUGAAAAACUCCGGUGGUAUGAGAUGGACCCGCGUCUGAUUAGCUAGUUGGUGAGGUAACGGCUCACCAAGGCGACGAUCAGUAGCCGACCUGAGAGGGUGAUCGGCCACAUUGGGACUGAGACACGGCCCAG
RNAcentral lists this ribosomal RNA (223 nucleotides) under uncultured bacterium. RNAcentral's name for it is "partial 16S ribosomal RNA". It matches the Rfam family "Bacterial small subunit ribosomal RNA", at positions 111 to 334 of the family's 1533-position model. The record is from RNAcentral.